UAGGGAAUCUUCCACAAUGGACGCAAGUCUGAUGGAGCAACGCCGCGUGAGUGAAGAAGGUUUUCGGACCGUAAAGCUCUGUUGUUGGUGAAGAAGGAUAGAGGUAGUAACUGGCCUUUAUUUGACGGUAAUCAACCAGAAAGUCACGGCUAACUACGUGCCAGCAGCCGCGGUAAUACGUAGGUGGCAAGCGUUGUCCGGAUUUAUUGGGCGUAAAGCGAGCGCAGGCGGAAGAAUAAGUCUGAUGUGAAAGCCCUCGGCUUAACCGAGGAAUUGCAUCGGAAACUGUUUUCUUGAGUGCAGAAGAGGAGAGUAGAACUCCAUGUGUAGCGGUGGAAUGCGUAGAUAUAUGGAAGAAUACCAGUGGCGAAGGCGGCUCUCUGGUCUGCAACUGACGCUGAGGCUCGAAAGCAUGGGUAGCGAACAGGAUUAGAUACCCCGGUAGUCCAUGCCGUAAACGAUGAGUGCUAAGUGUUGGGAGGCUUCCGCCUCUCAGUGCUGCAGCUAACGCAUUAAGCACUCCGCCUGGGGGAGUACGACCGC
This 543-nucleotide ribosomal RNA is filed under the name uncultured bacterium. RNAcentral's name for it is "partial 16S ribosomal RNA". It matches the Rfam family "Bacterial small subunit ribosomal RNA", at positions 355 to 889 of the family's 1533-position model. The record is from RNAcentral.